Molecule: ribosomal RNA, 875 nt
Filed under: Salmonella enterica
Lineage: Bacteria; Pseudomonadati; Pseudomonadota; Gammaproteobacteria; Enterobacterales; Enterobacteriaceae
Description: partial 23S ribosomal RNA
Rfam family: Bacterial large subunit ribosomal RNA
Source: RNAcentral
AAGAUGCAGUGUACCCGCGGCAAGACGGAAAGACCCCGUGAACCUUUACUAUAGCUUGACACUGAACAUUGAGCCUUGAUGUGUAGGAUAGGUGGGAGGCUUUGAAGCGUGGACGCCAGUCUGCGUGGAGCCGACCUUGAAAUACCACCCUUUAAUGUUUGAUGUUCUAACGUGGACCCGUAAUCCGGGUUGCGGACAGUGUCUGGUGGGUAGUUUGACUGGGGCGGUCUCCUCCUAAAGAGUAACGGAGGAGCACGAAGGUUGGCUAAUCCUGGUCGGACAUCAGGAGGUUAGUGCAAUGGCAUAAGCCAGCUUGACUGCGAGCGUGACGGCGCGAGCAGGUGCGAAAGCAGGUCAUAGUGAUCCGGUGGUUCUGAAUGGAAGGGCCAUCGCUCAACGGAUAAAAGGUACUCCGGGGAUAACAGGCUGAUACCGCCCAAGAGUUCAUAUCGACGGCGGUGUUUGGCACCUCGAUGUCGGCUCAUCACAUCCUGGGGCUGAAGUAGGUCCCAAGGGUAUGGCUGUUCGCCAUUUAAAGUGGUACGCGAGCUGGGUUUAGAACGUCGUGAGACAGUUCGGUCCCUAUCUGCCGUGGGCGCUGGAGAACUGAGGGGGGCUGCUCCUAGUACGAGAGGACCGGAGUGGACGCAUCACUGGUGUUCGGGUUGUCAUGCCAAUGGCACUGCCCGGUAGCUAAAUGCGGAAGAGAUAAGUGCUGAAAGCAUCUAAGCACGAAACUUGCCCCGAGAUGAGUUCUCCCUGAGACUUAGAGUCUCCUGAAGGAACGUUGAAGACGACGACGUUGAUAGGCCGGGUGUGUAAGCGCAGCGAUGCGUUGAGCUAACCGGUACUAAUGAACCGUGAGGCUUAACCUU